This is a long non-coding RNA of Junco hyemalis (dark-eyed junco), 1268 nucleotides long. The record is from Ensembl. Lineage: Eukaryota; Metazoa; Chordata; Aves; Passeriformes; Passerellidae.
UACUUUUUUUCCUUUCAAAUUAUGUCAUGUCUUUGUUUUAUUCCUCCUUUUAUCCUUGUAAGUCCAGUAACAUGCAGUUAUUGGAAAGUCACAGAUGACAGGGCUUGUCACCCUCUUUCUCUCUCUCAGAUUUAGAUGUCCAGUGAAAGCUAAGCUCAGCCUUUGGCCCCUUCCUAGAGAGCGUGGGAUAAACUGCCAGCUGGGUCUCCCUCUGCCCUCUGUAAAUGGAGCCCAGAGGAGCAGCCUGGCUUCAGCUGUUGUCAUCUGCCUUCACACACGCUUUGUGCUGCUCCCCCUGGCUCCAGAUGGCCAGAGAGAAGACAGACAGAUAUCACAGUGCAGGCACCAUGGAGCAGCCCCAGCAGCCUGGAGAAGAGACAAUCCAUUUUUCCCUUUCUGGGAUUAUCCUACUUUAUGUUUCCUGACUAUGCAGGACGUGGUGUAGUUGGUAGACUGGCCCUCAUAUAAGUGAUUAUAUGGAUAAACCUGUCCAGCUGCUGAUUCCUGCAGCAUGGAGUGUGAUUCUGAGUGUUUCCAUCUUCCCAGAGCUUCUUUCCAGGAUGCAACAGUGCAAGCCCUCCAUUUCAACCAUUCUGGCUGGUGACAGGAUGGCCUCAGUGUUCUUUUCAUCUGCAAUAAUCGGUAAAAAGUAUUAAUGUUGGAGGGUCAUCUCAUGGGGCCCAAUGAAGACCUUCUCCCAAAUACUAUGGAGUGAGGACAGUCAAUUUUUGUCAUUUGGUGCCCAUGUCUCAUCACUCUCACACCAAGAAUUUCUUCCCAAUUUCUAUUCUAAACCUGCCCUCUGUCAGUUUCAAGCUAUUAUCCCUUGUUCUAUGACAACACACCCUGUAAAAAGUCCCCAUCCAGCCUUCUUGUAGCUCCCUUCAGGCACUGUAAGGCUGCUGUCAUUGUAACCACUGCUUCACUGGUUCCCAUUCUUGCUUUUCCUAAGGCUGUAGUAGAUUUUCAAGAAAUUGGAUCAUUUGAAAGGGUCACUGGAUGAAAGGUUCAACUUGUAGAUGCAUAUUCAAAUCUGGAAGACUGAGUGCAAAGCAGACCCCUAGACCUGUAAGGGAAAUGUGAGCAGGAUGUACAUGAUUUCAGGCUGCAACAAAAAAUACAAUCCCUGUCAGCAUUAUGACUUGCCAUCCUUCAUAGUACUAUGAAUUUGGAAGCUGAAAGAAAAAUAGGGAACUUUGGAAGUUCUCUAGUAGCUAUUACGGGAAGUGGUAUAGCUCUAUUCAAAUAAAUGUGUCCCACUUCCAACA